Molecule: ribosomal RNA, 468 nt
Filed under: uncultured bacterium
Lineage: Bacteria
Description: partial 16S ribosomal RNA
Rfam family: Bacterial small subunit ribosomal RNA
Source: RNAcentral
GACGAACGCUGGCGGCGUGCUUAACACAUGCAAGUCGAACGGAAAGGCCCUGCUUUUGUGGGGUUCUCGAGUGGCGAACGUGUGAGUAACACGUGAGUAACCUGCCCUUGACUUUGGUAUAACUUCAGGAAACUGGGGCUAAUACCGGAUAGGAGCUCCUGCUGCAUGGUGGUGGUUGGAAAGUUUCGGCGGUUGGGGAUGGACUCGCUGCUUAUCAGCUUGUUUGUGGGGUAGUGGCUUACCAAGGCUUUGACGGGUAGCCGGCCUGUGAGGGUGACCGGACAAAGUGGGAAUGAGAUACGGCCCAGACGACAACGGGAGGAAGCAGUGGGGAAUAUUGAAAAAUGGGAGGAAGCGUGAUGCAGAAACGCAGCGUGCGGGAUGAAGGCAUUCGGGUUGUAAAAAGAAUUAGAAUGUGAAGAAGAGUGAGUGACGGUAAUGGGUAAAGAAGCACCGGCUAACUACGUG